GUAGGCGAUGGAUAACAGGUUGAUAUUCCUGUACCACCUAUAAUCGUUUUAAUCGAUGGGGGGACGCAGUAGGAUAGGCGAAGCGUGCGAUUGGAUUGCACGUCUAAGCAGUAAGGCUGAGUAUUAGGCAAAUCCGGUACUCAUUAAGGCUGAGCUGUGAUGGGGAGAAGACAUUGUGUCUUCGAGUCGUUGAUUUCACACUGCCGAGAAAAGCCUCUAGAUAGAAAAUAGGUGCCCGUACCGCAAACCGACACAGGUAGUCAAGAUGAGAAUUCUAAGGUGAGCGAGCGAACUCUCGUUAAGGAACUCGGCAAAAUGACCCCGUAACUUCGGGAGAAGGGGUGCUCUUUAGGGUUAACGCCCAGAAGAGCCGCAGUGAAUAGGCCCAAGCGACUGUUUAUCAAAAACACAGGUCUCUGCUAAACCGUAAGGUGAUGUAUAGGGGCUGACGCCUGCCCGGUGCUGGAAGGUUAAGAGGAGUGGUUAGCUUCUGCGAAGCUACGAAUCGAAGCCCCAGUAAACGGCGGCCGUAACUAUAACGGUCCUAAGGUAGCGAAAUUCCUUGUCGGGUAAGUUCCGACCCGCACGAAAGGCGUAACGAUUUGGGCACUGUCUCAACGAGAGACUCGGUGAAAUCAUAGUACCUGUGAAGAUGCAGGUUACCCGCGACAGGACGGAAAGACCCCGUGGAGCUUUACUGUAGCCUGAUAUUGAAAUUCGGCACAGCUUGUACAGGAUAGGUAGGAGCCUUUGAAACGUGAGCGCUAGCUUACGUGGAGGCGCUGGUGGGAUACUACCCUAGCUGUGUUGGCUUUCUAACCCGCACCACUUAUCGUGGUGGGAGACAGUGUCAGGCGGGCAGUUUGACUGGGGCGGUCGCCUCCUAAAAGGUAACGGAGGCGCUCAAAGGUUCCCUCAGAAUGGUUGGAAAUCAUUCAUAGAGUGUAAAGGCAUAAGGGAGCUUGACUGCGAGACCUACAAGUCGAGCAGGGUCGAAAGACGGACUUAGUGAUCCGGUGGUUCCGCAUGGAAGGGCCAUCGCUCAACGGAUAAAAGCUACCCCGGGGAUAACAGGCUUAUCUCCCCCAAGAGUUCACAUCGACGGGGAGGUUUGGCACCUCGAUGUCGGCUCAUCGCAUCCUGGGGCUGUAGUCGGUCCCAAGGGUUGGGCUGUUCGCCCAUUAAAGCGGUACGCGAGCUGGGUUCAGAACGUCGUGAGACAGUUCGGUCCCUAUCCGUCGUGGGCGUAGGAAAUUUGAGAGGAGCUGUCCUUAGUACGAGAGGACCGGGAUGGACAUACCUCUGGUGUACCAGUUGUCGUGCCAACGGCAUAGCUGGGUAGCUAUGUGUGGACGGGAUAAGUGCUGAAAGCAUCUAAGCAUGAAGCCCCCCUCAAGAUGAGAUUUCCCAACUUCGGUUAUAAGAUCCCUCAAAGAUGAUGAGGUUAAUAGGUUCGAGGUGGAAGCAUGGUGACAUGUGGAGCUGACGAAUACUAA
This 1496-nucleotide ribosomal RNA is filed under the name Staphylococcus aureus. RNAcentral describes it as "partial 23S ribosomal RNA". It matches the Rfam family "Bacterial large subunit ribosomal RNA", at positions 1411 to 2904 of the family's 2925-position model. Lineage: Bacteria; Bacillati; Bacillota; Bacilli; Caryophanales; Staphylococcaceae. The record is from RNAcentral.